AUCCAAAGUGAAGGUGAAACCCCUAAUCUUUUCUAGAAUCCAAAUCUUAAUUUCUCUCACUCAUUGCGGCUCCGAUAAUCUAACAUCUCAAACAAAACACCCUUGUCACUCUCGUUUCUCUCAAGCCAUGCUCCUCUUCCUCGGCUCCAACUUUUUUCUCAGAGGCUGCUCCGCCGGGAUGGCCUCUCCAAGAUGUCCCUUCGCGUCGCCGUGGUCAAGCUCUUCCUCGAUCGCCGGUGAGACAGCCAUGGUUUCCGAGCUCAAGAUCUUCGUGGAUGGUCGGCAGUGUUCAUUCUCUUCUGCGGAAAACAGAGUCAAGUGUGGUCUCAUCAAGAGAGAACGUGGCAAGCUUUCCCCGUCUGAUCUCUAAGCAUCUCUACUCUUGAACAACUCAAGAACUAUGCAUCUGACAAGAAAAAGAAGAAGUGAAAAUGGGAGCCCCAAAGCAUAAGUGGACAUUGAAAGAAGAAGAAGAAGAAGCUCUUAUGGCUGGAGUGCUCAAACAUGGAACUGGAAAAUGGCUUUACAUACUCGCACGACUCUGAGUACUACUUCUCUCCUGACCCCAACCCCAACAUCCACACUUCCCAUACCCCUAGCAACCACAUCCACACCUCGUUUUUUGCUGAUAACCACAUCAACAAAUCCCAUGUCCACAAUAGCACCAUCCACUCCUCGCAAGUCCCAAACAACCACAUCCAUAGACGCUUUGUCCACAAUACCCGAAUAAGGCGCACAUAGUGAUCUCAGCUGUCUUGAUCAAGUUACUUCUUAGCUGUUGAUUAACAAUCUCUUUUACCUCAUGCUCACUUUUGUAAUGUAUGUACUAAAACUUUCUCUUGUAGCCUCAACCGGCUUUUGCUAGGCGCAAACAUUCUUAGACUUUUUUGAAAUCAGCCUAAUUAUGUGUC
Molecule: long non-coding RNA, 911 nt
Organism: Brassica oleracea var. oleracea
Lineage: Eukaryota; Viridiplantae; Streptophyta; Magnoliopsida; Brassicales; Brassicaceae
Exons: 3
Source: RefSeq, a predicted model, not a curated record